AUCUCAGUAGCUCAGUGGUAGAGCGGUUGUCUUUUAACUGACUGGUCGUAGGUUCGAGUCCUACUUGUU
This 69-nucleotide transfer RNA is filed under the name Cocos nucifera (coconut palm). Its description in RNAcentral is "tRNA-Lys". It matches the Rfam family "tRNA", at positions 5 to 66 of the family's 71-position model. From Rfam's summary of the family: Transfer RNA (tRNA) molecules are approximately 80 nucleotides in length. Their secondary structure includes four short double-helical elements and three loops (D, anti-codon, and T loops). The record is from RNAcentral. Lineage: Eukaryota; Viridiplantae; Streptophyta; Magnoliopsida; Arecales; Arecaceae.